UUAACAGUUUUGAACAAAUUAGUGCAUUCUUGAAGGAGGAGCAAGAGCGAGAGAGAGAGAGAGGGCUAGCUAUAUUUCGUCAUUUAGUUUCACUUUCACUUACUUACCAAAUCCAUAGAGCUAGUAUAGCCAACUCAAACACUCGGCUCAAACACCCGGCUCACACCUGCCUAUGACUAUCAAACACAGGAACUCUUCCAAGUCAAGCGGGACUGGACAUAUUGGUACAGGAUGGACAGGCACCUCCUCAGAGCAGAACCCCUGACUUUUCUUCUCUCUGGGAUUGAUGACCAAAACAGAACGAUAACAAAUUAUCAGGAUGGAAACAGCUGUUCUUGUAGGCCAAUUGAGUCAACAAUCAAUAAAUGGGCCGGAUUACCGAACAGGGACGAGGCGGCCUACAGGGAGGAGGUGAGGUCCCUCGGAGUGUGGUGUCAGGAAAAUAACCUCACACUCAACGUCAAAAAAACAAAGGAGAUGAUUGUGGACUUCAGGAAACAGCAGAGGGAACAC
Long non-coding RNA from Oncorhynchus gorbuscha (pink salmon), 513 nucleotides. RefSeq lists it as uncharacterized. The transcript has 3 exons. NCBI's taxonomy places the organism in Eukaryota, Metazoa, Chordata, Actinopteri, Salmoniformes, Salmonidae. The record is from RefSeq and is a predicted model, not a curated record.